CUUAUGUUCAUUUCAAACCACAAUCUUGACAUGUAUGAAGUAAAACAUGUCAUGAAACCCACUAUCUUUAACAUUCAAACUGGCAGUGAAACAUAAACACCCUUUGAUUUCAAUGAAAUCACUUCUCACACUGUCUUUUCCUGUGUGUGUUUAUGUGUGUGUGUAGGUGUGUGGAGGCUGAACCACGUGUGUUUAGCUGUGUUGGAAUCAGCAUCUACCUGUGUUGAGGACGUGGAGGUCUCUACAGAAGUCUCCACCUGCUCCGUAACCUCCGAACAUGAACACAUGAUCUCCAACCAGGGCGAAACUCUGAUCACACCUGCACACACACCACAACGCACACUGCACUGAGCCACAGAUCAGUCAUCUAAGCUCGCAGUCCAACAGCUGUCCUCUGCGUCUCAUCUUACAGAGACGGAGCCACAGUCCGGACUCUGAACCAGCCUCCGAGCUUCACACCGUCUCCCUGACAGUCUCAGCCUCUGCUGAUUGAUGAUGUAAGACGGUCACGUUUCCCACCGUCACCACUCGUUUUUUUUUUAUCAUGUUUUAUUCACACAGAGACACACACAUAU
Long non-coding RNA from Toxotes jaculatrix (banded archerfish), 575 nucleotides. RefSeq lists it as uncharacterized. The record is from RefSeq and is a predicted model, not a curated record. The transcript is spliced from 3 exons. NCBI's taxonomy places the organism in Eukaryota, Metazoa, Chordata, Actinopteri, Toxotidae.